CGCCACCCUCUCUCCCAAGCUAGACGAAGCCCAUCUCAUAGUUCUUGAGCAUCGACCAAGAGGGCAUUUCGACCUUGCCCCAUCCCAACAAACCCCAGUAGCCACUUGUGUAACGCCCCAAUUUCUCAACCGGGGAUCACAUUAGUAACCCAACAAAUAUGGAGACUAACUCAAGUUUCUUUUUUUUCAAAGAGGUGAUAAAUUUCGAAACACAAAAGGCCCAUUGUCACCCAAGCAAUGGCCAAAGAAGUUCCCAGGUAAGUUGGCCGGGCACAAUGUCUCAUUGAAAGCACUCCUUACCUAGACAGAACAACUCGAACUCUUACUCGAACUCAAACGGGGUUUUCAAUAUCAUUUUCAAAACAUUUUCAAAAUCGAUUCAAUUAGCCUUUAAGUUCAAAAUCUAUUGAUUACUUUUAUAUUUAUCAACUUUUCAAAACUUUAUCAUUUGAUUUCCUUUAAAUCAUUAACCGAUAAUCGAUAUCUAAAUUUAAACGUCGGUUAUUACGAUAACAAUAAUAUAAAUAAUAUCCCGAUAAAAUUCCUAGUUAAACCACUAGCGUACUCAAAAUCCAACAUAAUAUCGACAUACGAAAAUAAGGUAUAAAAUUAUUUAAUAAAGCUCGCUUUGCACGCUUCCCAUCUUUGUCGCCUCAAAGUCUCGUCACCUAGCACAAGUCGUCACCCAUCCACUCUUGUCAUCAAGAACAAUCAAAUUUCACCACUAAAUGACUCGUCAUCUAAAGCGUUAAGCGCCCAAGUAGACAAGUAGCAAACAUUAAAGGUUAGCUCCGAAAAACAAAACAACCAAAACAUG
This 817-nucleotide long non-coding RNA is filed under the name Lotus japonicus. RNAcentral describes it as "long non-coding RNA (LJAP_LNC000500)". Lineage: Eukaryota; Viridiplantae; Streptophyta; Magnoliopsida; Fabales; Fabaceae. The record is from RNAcentral.